Mycena latifolia is the source of this 95-nucleotide non-coding RNA. The record is from the annotation of a GenBank genome assembly. NCBI's taxonomy places the organism in Eukaryota, Fungi, Basidiomycota, Agaricomycetes, Agaricales, Mycenaceae.
GGUCCAGUAGCGGAUGGUCCGCGCCUGCUUCCAGUCUUGAAGGGCAGUAUGACAUCUACCCGCAGGAGUUGCUCGUUCGAAUCGGGCCUGGACCU